Long non-coding RNA from Entelurus aequoreus (snake pipefish), 1530 nucleotides. RefSeq lists it as uncharacterized. Lineage: Eukaryota; Metazoa; Chordata; Actinopteri; Syngnathiformes; Syngnathidae. The record is from RefSeq and is a predicted model, not a curated record. The transcript has 4 exons.
AGUGGAAUGAGUUGAUCUCUGCAACAGCCCCGAGGAACAUAGCUGAAGAAAAGUGGAAUGCACCACAAUUUAUGCCCUUCACUGAGGAUGUUCAAAAAAUGCAUCAGUUUCUCAGUCAAAAGCAUGAUGAGUACAUGAUGAAAAUUCUUCCACAAAGGCCUGGUCAGACCUGACAAAAGUAUGUUGGACACAGAUCAUCCUCUUUAAAAGACAAAGAGAAGGAGAGGUAGCAGCCAUGCCCUUGUUGGCUUUUUUGUCAAGAGACACAACUGAUCCUCAUGAAGAUGUUGACUGGGCACUCUCUGAAGUGGAAAAAAAACUGUGCAGAUAUUUUUCAAGGAUUGUCAUCAGGGGAAAACGAGGCAGACCUGUUCUUAUUCUCUUGACACCAAAAAUGGUGUGUGCAUUAGAACUUCUCGUUAAGUACAGGCAAACUUGUGGGGUUCUCAAAGACAACACUUACCUGUUUGCAAGACCCACAGCGAUGACGCAUUUACGUGGUUCUGACUGCAUACGAGACUAUGCAAAAGCAUGUCAUGCAAAGUGUCCUGUGUCACUUACAUCCACCAAAACAUGCUGCCACCCUUUCAACUGUGCUAAACAUGACAGACACAGAGAUGGACCAGCUGGACAACUUUCUUGGCCAUGAUAUCAGAAUCCAUCGUGAGUUCUAUAGACUCCCUGAAAAGACACUGCAGCUGGCAAAAAUCAGCAAAGUUUUGAUGGCACUCGAGCAAGGUCAUGGCAAGAACUUAGAUGAAAUCACAAUUGGUCCAAAUGGUAUGUUGUCAUCUUUGUUGUUUCCUUUGUCUAUAAUUUUUUUUCCAUCCUUUUGUUUGGUUUGAACCCAAUUAUAAGCUUAACAUGUUAUGUGUACCACAGAAUGUGUUGUGCAAACUGAAGAGGAAGAUCUGAUUCAUUCCCUGACAAUGGUCUGUAACGUCAAUACUCAUAUUUGUGGUUUAUUAAAGUGGCCUAUGGUAAGCAUGACACUGAAUGUUUAUAGCAUUGAACCCACAGAAGAGGUGGCCUUUCCAACCACUGAGGAUGAACAAAUCCCGCCCCCCAACAGACUGACGCAACUUUCAAAAUAAAGUGAUGGAUCAUCAUGACAACGUGCAGUGAGACAUUCUUCCAAUCAAAGUGUUGUGCAAACUGAAGAGGAAGAUCUUACCAGAGUGGACAAACACUAUUCAUUACCUGAUAAUGAAGAGGUGGCCUUUCCAACUACUGAGGAGGAAGCAAUCCCACCCCCCAACAGACGGACACAACUUUCAAAAAAAAAAAGGAGGUAUCAUCAGGAGAUCGUGCAGUGAGACAUUCUUCCAAAGGUAAAGCUGCCCAGAAAAGGCGACCCUGGACACAGAAAGAGGUGAAGGCUGUCGAGAAGCACAUGAAGCGAUUCAUCCCUUCUGGUAUUGUACCAAGAAAGAGUGACUGUUUAAAAUGUUUGAGGGCCGAACCGGAAGCUCUCCAAAACCGGGAAUGGCAAGCGUUGAAGUUCUAUGUGUACAACCGCAUUACGGCCUA